UACGUAGGGGGCGAGCGUUGUCCGGAUUCAUUGGGCGUAAAGAGCUCGUAGGCGGCUUGGCAAGCCGGGUGUGAAAACUCCAGGCUCAACCUGGAGACGCCACCCGGGACUGCUAUGGCUAGAGUCCGGUAGGGGAUCACGGAAUUCCUGGUGUAGCGGUGAAAUGCGCAGAUAUCAGGAGGAACACCGGUGGCGAAGGCGCACACCUGGCCCGAUACUGACGCUGAGGCGCGAAAGCUAGGGGAGCAAACGGG
Molecule: ribosomal RNA, 254 nt
Filed under: uncultured bacterium
Lineage: Bacteria
Description: partial 16S ribosomal RNA
Rfam family: Bacterial small subunit ribosomal RNA
Source: RNAcentral